Molecule: non-coding RNA, 3962 nt
Organism: Saimiri boliviensis boliviensis (Bolivian squirrel monkey)
Lineage: Eukaryota; Metazoa; Chordata; Mammalia; Primates; Cebidae
Source: RefSeq, a predicted model, not a curated record
AUGGGGAAGUAUAACUGGAACCAGUCCUCCCACCCCCUGGGGGUCUUCACUUUCCCAGUCUACAUCUGCCUGUGACUUCAGAAAGACAAACUACAGUUUGGCCAAGCUGCCUGAAGACCCAGCCCGACAGCGACGGGUGCCAGGCCGCGUCGCCCACCAGGGCAGCUGCUCUCUCGACUCGCGUGGGGGGCAUCACCUCCCCUCGGUGCCUCCGCGGGGAUCCCCAGGGCCUCAGACCUUGCGGCCGGCGGCGCGGGAGUGUGGCGGGGCAGGGACCGGAGGCGACCAGACGGAACCCCGGAUUUAGGCCGCCUGCAUUCCAGCCACUGGAGUGGCCACUGGGGCGCCCCUUCCAUCCUGGUUAAAUUCUCAUUGUGACCCCCAGCCUCCGCCUAGGCGGGUUCUCCGCCGCUCAGGCCGGAAGAGGUCACGACUCCGGGCAGGGUGGACCCCCAGCUCCAUUUUGGAGGAACUUUCGCCCGAAGCAAGCAGGAAGGGGUUAACCACGAGCCUCCCACCCUCACCUCGCAGCCCCCGGUGGUGGUGCCCGGCGAAGCGAAGGCCGCCGCUUCCCUCCUGAGGUCUCAUUAGGGAAACCCUCGCCGCUAUUUUCAACGUUUCCUCAAUCAAGUGCCUUUAAAUAGAGCUGCACAAACAGAUUGGCGGCAAGAGCGUAGAUCUUGUCACGAUGGAGACCAAUCCAGUAUUUCAGCCUUGUUUGCUUUACAAUUACGGGUUGGCUUGUGGCUGCGGUGCCACCGGGGCAAAUCUGCAGCCGCUGGCUUUCUCCUCUGCGCUCCGGGCGGGCGGGUGGAGGAAGCGACCCUCGGAGUCACAGCCGGGAGGAAAGGGGGGCGCGCGCACUGGGGUUUGGGGACGGCGGCGCGGGGCAGAGGGGCCUCGCUUGUACCCCAGGGCCGCGGGCGCGCACGGCUGUGUUGAAGGACACACUUUUCAGGCUCCUGACAGCCACUGAGCUAUGUGCAACAAUAAAGUGCGUGAUUCGCGUUUGGAAACCAGUGUCGUGCCCUCACCAGCUUCCCUUCCUGGCCCGCUUUCCCCUCUUCUCUACCUCCGUUUCAUUUUUCUCCAGAGUAUGCUGGUGGUUUGCUGGAUUUCCCUUCUCCCUCGCUGUUCAACGGCUAGCAUGAUUUGUUACAUUUUCCACAGCUGUUUAUUCUUGUUUCACUUUUUGUACAAAGUCACUUUAAAUCUGCUGCAGGAAGAAUAAAGCUCCUAGCCCUCUGGAUGGGAUCCCGCAGGCGAGUGGCUGUCCCCGACCCACUUUUGAUUCUUUGGAGGCGGCUCUUCUGUGUAAAUUAGCCCCUGGGUGCGUUCGCUCACCUCUAGGCCAGCCUAGUUUGUAUCCGCAGUACAGUAGUGAACUCAAAUCAGGUCGUAAGCCUUAUAUUUCACAGACAAUUACCUCUUGGCUGCUGUUGAACAAAACUGUAAUAUUUACUCCGCUCUAUACCGAGGAGCACUUUUAAAGCAAAAGAAACAAAACAAAAUACAAAUACUAUAUUUCAAAAAGAAAAUAUGACAAUAAAUCUCUUUUUUAUGGAUUCUCUCUGCAGAAAUGGAAACAACAUGAUUUACAUCCCUGGCACUCCCACCCCCUUUUCAGACACAGCAGAAGUUGUGCAGAUUCUGUCUUCUAACACAUAAUCUCUCUCUCUGGGGGGAGGCACUUAGGUAGGCUACAUUCGAUUUCAUUUCUAAGGUUUCAGGCCCCUCCCCGACCCGUGUAGUAUGCAACAAGGGUUAUCAAAUAAUAAGGUUUUGGUUGUAAAGUCUACUGCACACAAGAAUUCAAAAUGAUGGGCAAGACAUGGGUAAUUAUGUUACAACUUCAUAUUACUUUCCAAAUGAAUACCCAUUUUCUUCUCAUGUCAACUUCUAGAAAUGGGAAGCUGAGGCAGAGAAAUAUUUUUACGAGACUCUGGAGUACAUAUUAAAAUGUGUUUCUUUAUUAUUUGAGAAUGUGUAAGGUAUGGACCUAGAUUUGUUUGCUGGUGGUCAUAAAAUAAAUUCAUAGCCAUUGUGGCCAAUAAGCAAUCUCCUUCAUGCUUUAAAAGUUCUUGGUUUAUAAUCCCACCUGGAUUGUAUUUUCACUAUUCUGUAUCACCCUCCUUUUGCAAUAUUUUGGUUCUCAAUAUUAUGUAAAACAAACCUUAGAAAUAAUCAUUUCCAUAAAAUUGUGCAAUGGGAAAGCCACAGAAUAUUUUGAAUCCAUAUUGUUAUGCAUGCUCAGGUAUAUAGCUCUUUCACAGUUUUCUAGCUAACCAAUUGCUUUAGUAUUUCAAGAAAUAGGAAGCAGUAGCUACCAAGGAUACCAUUUCAUAAGAAUUGUAUUUUCAGAGAAAAAAUUGGUCUGGGGCAUUAUUCAAUGCAAAAAAAUUAUAAUAUCACUUUCAUAUGUGUUAAUCUGUUUAGUAUUAAAACUGCUAACGUGUCUUAACCAUGAACGUGUUUUGCCAUACCACUUUCAAAUGGGUGAUCUGAGAUAAUUACACAGAUUUUGAUGUUAAUCCCAUGUUAAGUGAACAACUAUGAAAAUAAUCUUAAAGCAUUAUUAUUCUCUUGUAAGUGCCAGCAAACACAAUUGUAGAGAGAACAUGAUUACUUUUUAUCUGACAUUAUCCCAUAAUGGUAUGGCUACAUUUAUUUCUUUUAAAAUUGGAGCAGUUUUCAAUUACUUUUUAACAGAAUUGUUUUCAACACAGCAUUUAGCCGUGCCCAUAAAUCAUUGAAACUUUGUACUGACCAAUACAUAUUUUUCUACAUUAUUAUUUAUUAGCCUUUUUGCAAACUCAAUAAAAUAGAAUAGUAUUAAAAAUAUGAACAUACAGAGAACAAUUAUUAGGUUCUACAUAUUUAUUUAGGUAAACCAAUGUUAUUAAAAUUAAAAACAUGUGCCUGGCAUAUAAGUGCUUCUUUAGGAAUUCUUUUUUGGAUUCCUAGUUAUUAUUUUUUAAACCAACUCAGAUUUUCAAAUAUUGAUUUGCUUCUCUGAAUAGGCAUGGCAUUGUUUUAAACAGUAGCUCUUGGAAUAAUGCCGUCUUUAGUAUUUUAGACUUUCAAAUAACAAUUGGAAUUGGAUAAAUGCUUUCAGCUGGGAGCACUUUCCUAAUACCUUUGUAGGUAAUGUGAUUCUUUAUUUGUGCUGGGUGACAAAUGGACAGUGGCCUGGACAGACUGCUUACCCUCUGUAGAAUUUACCAAAAAGUAAAGUUUUCCUAUGAGAUUGCUUGUGGUACAUAUAAAAAUGAAAAAAAAAAUCAGAAAAUGAGCAAGGACUUUUCUAACUACAGGUAUGAAAUGAUGGUUUAAAAGGGAAUUUAGAAAAUAAGACUGGAGUAAUACAGAAACAAAAUCUGAAAAAUAAAGUUUGCUUAGACAGGAACUGGCUCUUUGUCUAUAAACCAGAGGCUAAGUAAGGAGUUGGAUCCAAACGCAUUGAAUUAUUUUUGUUUGAUUGUUUAUUUUCUUCCAUUCAGUGCCUUUUAAAUUGUUUUUUUACUGGAUGAAGAAACUCGACCAAGAAAAUGUAUGUCAAUUCUUUUAAAUGGGACAAUAUUAGCUGCUGCAAUUUUUAAUACUAGCAUAAAAUAUAAGAAUCUUUUUUUAUUACUAUAUAUUUUUUUCCCUAAAUGAAUGCAUAGUGUAACGAUUGGUGUCAAAAAGCACUGAUUUUUUUUUUUCAAAUGGAUUAAAUUGGAAUAAUAAGCUAUAGCCAUGAGGUGAUUUCUGUGAAGUCUGACUUGCUAAGAAGAAAGUGAAAAAGGUUUUUCUGGCAGAAAUAUGGCAACUUAACUGUUAUUAAUCUAGACUAAAUAAAACAGAAAACUGCCUCUUUACAUUUAUAGUAAUUUUUUCUGCCUUUCCAAACAUUGUUACGUUCUAUGCAACUUGUGCUAUUCAAGUAAAGAUGAUAUCAGUAAUAAAAUUACAGAAUCUAA